This is a long non-coding RNA of Felis catus (domestic cat), 1318 nucleotides long. RefSeq lists it as uncharacterized. The transcript is spliced from 5 exons. The record is from RefSeq and is a predicted model, not a curated record. Lineage: Eukaryota; Metazoa; Chordata; Mammalia; Carnivora; Felidae.
GAGGAUUUACCCAGAACCUCCUGGGGCAGCUGGACAGCAGGGGGCGGCAGGGCCUCAGCUGGUACCCACGUUUGCUUCCUCCUGCGGGUCAGCGGGUGUCUCCUUCGGUUCCAUCUCAUUACACCAGAAUUGUUAAAAGGCCUUAACAGCCUCAGCGAAGAACUGAAGCUGCCCUGAAGAGACUCUGCCUUGUAGGUGUCAGCCUCACCAUGUGCUGAGGAGGUCCAUCCUGCUCUUCAGACACUUCAGACUUGCUUUUCCAGCCUAUACAAUCAUAGUUGAUGGAUGGCCAUAUUUUCGAGGAUAAUAUGUAUCUGUCACAGAUUAACACAGGAGAGUGAUACAAAUAUACUCUAAAGCACGGGGAAGUGUUGGUUUUGGAAAUCCUGGAAUCAUCACUUUCUGGCUUGAAAACCCCAUGAAGCAGAGAAAUCAGUUACUACUUGUCCUUGGAUCUUCAAGGUGGUGAUGGUCACAGAACAAAGCCCAUCAACUCUGGUGUGACUGCUAUUUCACGGUUUCCUCUAAAGCAACAAUUCUCUGGAUGUGAAUGGACUGAACAACUUGGUAUUUUAUUUAACCAUACAACUUAAGCAUCUAUUUGUUUUAAACAUUUUCAUAUUUUAAACAUCUUAUGUGAUAUUUAUCUAAGUAAACAUUUAAAAAGGAAAUAUAUAUUGGCAUUAAAAAAAGCUAUUGCUUUUUUACUUGUCACUUAUUACCACUAUGCUUUAGGGUAUAACUAUCCAUUUGAGCCAUAUGAAAUUGCUGAUAUUUGACCAUUUUGACCUACAUAAUGGCUAUUUCAUUUGGUUCAAUCUAAAUACUUACAAUACCUACUCUGGAAGGAAAGUAUCAGCAAGAUAUCCAUAUUAUAUUAAAUUAGAAAAAAAGAUAUAAUAUUGAGCUUCUAGUGCAAGCCCAAAAAUAUUUUUUAAAUUAUAAUUAAGAAUAGAAAAAUGGUAAGAAGGAAGUAUUAAAAUUGAUCAAUGGAUGCCUUUGAAUAAUAAAUAAGAGGAUGGGAUAUUUUAUUUACUGUUCUUAUAUGGUACAUAUGUAUUACAUUUAUUUAAUAACUUACUGUUUUGUGGUUAUUGAAAUAGCAUAUGUUGUUUUUGGAAAUCUUGGAAAAUAGGAAAAUGAUAAAGAAGAAAACUAUGCUGAGAUUUUGUGAUGGCUUUUUACCAACUCCCUUCUUAUUAAAAAGAGCACUGUUGGGACAUCUGGGUGGCUCAGUCAGUUAAGCAGCUAACUCUUGAUUUUGGCUCAGGUCAUGAUCUCAUUGUUCGUGAGUUUGAGCCCUGAAUCAGGCUCCAUG